ACCCAGAGGUUGCAGUAAGUCUGGAUGCCACAUCAAACUGUUUGUGGUACUUCUAAACUUCGUGGAAGAGCCCUGUUUCAUAAAUCUGAGACAGCCUUGGUCUGAGGGAGCAAAGACAGAGAAUUCACGUGCUGCCCAGGCAUAGCCACAUAGCAGGUGGACAUCCCUGGACACUUUUCUGACAAAGCACGCAAUGUGGGGACAACACAGAAAUCCAAGAAAGGCAAGACCAAUUUCAAGGCACUAAAUAAGUGGACUGAGACAAGAAGUACACAGAUACUUCCCAGAACAAACUUGGUUCUAAGGAAGUUCCAGACUAAAAUAGUGCAUCAAGAGGACUGGCAUAAUCAGCCUCACUAAAAACAGCCUGAUUAAUACUAAAUAUGUCCUAGCUCCUAAUCAAUUAUGUUAACGAAGUCAUAGGCAGCACAUCUGCAAGCCCUGACAAAGCCCAUGAUCUCAGCAUUGCCUGAUAAUAUAGACUCCCCGAGCUGCUCAGGGUUAGCAGCCUUCAAGCUUUCAGAGAAGACACUGACAAAGGCUUGUGAUCCUCAAACCUUGUUAUUUUAUUCACCACAGCCUAUUACUAGGUUCUGGGAUGAACUGUCAAAUUACAUUGCUCUUUAAAUAAAAUAACAGGAGCUCAUGCCUGUAAUCCCAGCACUUUGGGAGGCCAAGGAGGGUGGAUCACGAGGUCAGGAGAUUGAGACCAUCCUGGCUAACACGGUGAAACCCCGUCUCUACUAAAAAUACAAAAAAUUAGCCAGGCAUGGUGGCGGGCGCCUGUAGUCCCAGCUACUCGGGAGGCUGAGGCAGGAGAAUGGCGUGAACCCGGGAGGCGGAGCUUGCAGUGAGCCGAGAUGGUGCCACUGCACUUCCAGCCUGGGCAGCAGAGCAAGACUCCGUCUCAAGAAAAAAAAAAAAUAAAUAAUAAAUAAAUAAAUAAAUAAAUAAAUAAAUACAAUAACAGAACCUAAGCGUCCUACUUAACAAAUGACACAUCCUUUUCCAAGUGACAGAUUGCUAAGCAAAAUAUUUGCUACUUGGUGUUUUAUGAGCCUCUGCUAGGAGAUAACUUGGCAUCAAACACUUGAAUAAUCUGACUAUCAAAGUCUCCCUCAAGUUGGGAAAUCUGAAUUCGUUGCUUUAUGUCCAUCUGGAAACAACAACAGAAUUAGAAUCCCAUGAAAAAUUAAGGCAACGCUAUUAUUUAUAGGGGUUGUCUUGUCCAAUGAACAUUUUGGCGAGUGAGAUAGUUUUGUGUCAAAUUCUCUUAAGUCAUGUGAACUAUUAUAGUCCAAAUGCCAAAAUAAAUGUAAUUCUGAUUUUUUUGGUCUA
This is a long non-coding RNA of Homo sapiens (human), 1338 nucleotides long. Ensembl annotates it as TRDN antisense RNA 1. Its record names the gene TRDN-AS1. NCBI's taxonomy places the organism in Eukaryota, Metazoa, Chordata, Mammalia, Primates, Hominidae. The record is from Ensembl.